This 501-nucleotide ribosomal RNA is filed under the name uncultured bacterium. RNAcentral describes it as "partial 16S ribosomal RNA". It matches the Rfam family "Bacterial small subunit ribosomal RNA", at positions 30 to 523 of the family's 1533-position model. The record is from RNAcentral.
AUUGAACGCUGGCGGCAGGCUUAACACAUGCAAGUCGAGCGGGGGAAGGUAGCUUGCUACCGGACCUAGCGGCGGACGGGUGAGUAAUGCUUAGGAAUCUGCCUAUUAGUGGGGGACGACAUCUCGAAAGGGAUGCUUAUACCGCAUACGUCCUACGGGAGAAAGCAGGGGAUCUUCGGACCUUGCGCUAAUAGGUGAGCCUAAGUCGGAUUAGCUAGUUGGUGGGGUAAAGGCUUACCAAGGCGACGAUCUGUAGCGGGUCUGAGAGGAUGAUCCGCCACACUGGGACUGAGACACGGCCCAGACUCCUACGGGAGGCAGCAGUGGGGAAUAUUGGACAAUGGGGGGAACCCUGAUCCAGCCAUGCCGCGUGUGUGAAGAAGGCCUUAUGGUUGUAAAGCACUUUAAGCGAGGAGGAGGCUACUUUAGUUAAUACCUAGAGAUAGUGGACGUUACUCGCAGAAUAAGCACCGGCUAACUCUGUGCCAGCCGCCGCAGUAA